GCGCACGUGGUGUAACUGAAAACGCACUGGAUUCGUAUUCCAGAGGGCCGGAGUUCGAACCACGGCGAGAGCA
This 73-nucleotide transfer RNA is filed under the name Stegodyphus mimosarum. It matches the Rfam family "tRNA". From Rfam's summary of the family: Transfer RNA (tRNA) molecules are approximately 80 nucleotides in length. Their secondary structure includes four short double-helical elements and three loops (D, anti-codon, and T loops). Further hydrogen bonds mediate the characteristic L-shaped molecular structure. tRNAs have two regions of fundamental functional importance: the anti-codon, which is responsible for specific mRNA codon recognition, and the 3' end, to which the tRNAs corresponding amino acid is attached (by aminoacyl-tRNA synthetases). tRNAs cope with the degeneracy of the genetic code in two manners: having more than one tRNA (with a specific anti-codon) for a particular amino acid; and 'wobble' base-pairing, i.e. permitting non-standard base-pairing at the 3rd anti-codon position. Lineage: Eukaryota; Metazoa; Arthropoda; Arachnida; Araneae; Eresidae. The record is from Rfam by way of RNAcentral.